CUAAGGUAGCGAAAUUCCUUGUCGGGUAAGUUCCGACCCGCACGAAAGGCGUAACGAUUUGGGCACUGUCUCAACAACAGACUCGGUGAAAUUGUAAUACCGGUGAAGAUGCCGGUUACCUGCGACAGGACGGAAAGACCCCAUGGAGCUUUACUGUAGCUUGACAUUGAGUCUCGGUGCUACAUGUACAGGAUAGGUGGGAGACUAUGAAGCAUGGACGUCAGUCUGUGUGGAGUCAUCCUUGGGAUACCACCCUUGUAGUACUGGGAUUCUAACCAGAGGCCAUGAAUCUGGUCUUGGGACACUGUCAGGUGGACAGUUUGACUGGGGCGGUCGCCUCCCAAAAAGUAACGGAGGCGCUCAAAGGUUCUCUCAGUACGGUCGGAAAUCGUACGAAGAGUGUAAAGGCAAAAGAGAGCUUGAUUGCAAGACAUACAGGUCGAGCAAGGACGAAAGUCGGACUUAGUGAUCCGGUGGUUCCGCAUGGAAGGGCCAUCGCUCAACGGAUAAAAGCUACCCUGGGGAUAACAGGCUGAUCUCCCCCAAGAGUCCACAUCGACGGGGAGGUUUGGCACCUCGAUGUCGGCUCAUCACAUCCUGGGGCUGUAGUAGGUCCCAAGGGUUGGGCUGUUCGCCCAUUAAAGUGGUACGCGAGCUGGGUUCAGAACGUCGUGAGACAGUUCGGUCCCUAUCCGUCGCAGGCGUAGGAAAUUUGAGGAGACCUGUCCUUAGUACGAGAGGACCGGGAUGGACGUACCGCUGGUGUACCAGUUGUUCUGCCAAGGGCAUGGCUGGGUAGCUAAGUACGGAAAGGAUAAGCGCUGAAAGCAUCUAAGCGCGAAGCCUACUUCGAGAUAAGAUUUCCCACCGCAAGGUUAAGACCCCAUGAAGACUACAUGGUUGAUAGGUCAGAGGUGGAAGUGUGGUAACAUAUGUAGCUUACUGAUACUAAUAGGUCGAGGACUUGACCAA
RNAcentral lists this ribosomal RNA (972 nucleotides) under human gut metagenome. RNAcentral's name for it is "bacterial LSU rRNA". It matches the Rfam family "Bacterial large subunit ribosomal RNA", at positions 1951 to 2925 of the family's 2925-position model. The record is from RNAcentral.